Molecule: ribosomal RNA, 253 nt
Filed under: uncultured bacterium
Lineage: Bacteria
Description: partial 16S ribosomal RNA
Rfam family: Bacterial small subunit ribosomal RNA
Source: RNAcentral
UACAGAGGUCUCAAGCGUUGUUCGGAGUUACUGGGCGUAAAGGGUGUGUAGGCGGUUCUUUAAGUUUGGCGUGAAAUCUCCCGGCUCAACCGGGAGGGUGCGUCGAAUACUGAGGGACUAGAGUACGGGAGAGGAAAGUGGAAUUCCUGGUGUAGCGGUGAAAUGCGUAGAUAUCAGGAGGAACACCGGUGGUGUAGACGGCUUUCUGGACCGUAACUGACGCUGAGACACGAAAGCGUGGGUAGCAAACAGG